AUGGACAUGAAGCGGGCGCGGAGCCCCCGGGCUCCGGCCGACGGCGGCGACGACGACAAGAGGCGGGCUGCCAGCGCCAAGUGGGGCGGCGCCGUCCGGCCCAAGAUGGUGCUGGUCGGGUUCCUCGUCACCCUGGCCCUCCUCGCCUUCACCUUCGGCGGCCGCCCGGUCGCCCUCCCCUCCGCCCCCUCCUCGCCGUCCUCCGUCCCCAAGGCCGGCGGCCGCCACGUCGUCGCCGGCGCCGGCGGCAAAAGCGCAACGCCCAAAAAGAACGUAAUCCCUCCGAAGAACGUAACCGCGCCAGCAGCCACAACUCCGUCGCCGUCGCAGGACAAGCUCCUGGGAGGGCUACUCUCGGCGGCGUUCGACGAGUCCACCUGCCAGAGCCGAUACAAGUCGUCCCUGUACCGUAAGCCGUCGCCGUUCCCGCUCUCCCCGUACCUGGUGAAGAAGCUGCGCAAGUACGAGGCGUACCACAAGAAGUGCGGCCCGGGCACGCAGCGGUACCGGACGGCCGUCGAGCAGCUCCAGGCCGGGCGCAACGCCGACAGCGCCGAGUGCAGGUACGUGGUGUGGUUCCCCUGCAACGGCCUCGGCAACCGCAUGCUCACCAUCGCCUCCACCUUCCUCUACGCGCUGCUCUCCGGCCGGGUCAUGCUCCUCAACGUGCCGCCGGAGCAGGAGGGCCUCUUCUGCGACCCCUUCCCGGCCACCUCCUGGGUGCUCCCCGGCGGCUUCCCCGAGGGCAACCCCAUGAAGCUCAACGUCGGCGCGCCCGAGAGCUACGUCAACAUGCUCAACAACGGCGUCAUCCGGCACGACACGCCGGCGGCGUCGCUGCCGGCGCACGUGUACCUCCACGUCGAGCAGACCCGGUUGCGGCUGUCGGACAACAUCUUCUGCGACGACGACCAGCGGCUGCUCCGCAAGUUCACCUGGAUGAUCCUCAAGUCCGACAGCUACUUCGCGCCGGCGCUCUUCCUCACGCCCAUGUACGAGAAGGAGCUGGCGCGGAUGUUCCCGCAGAGGGAGGCCGUGUUCCACCACCUCGGCCGCUACCUCUUCCACCCGACCGACCGGGUGUGGGGGAUCGUGCGGCGCUACUACGAGGCCUACCUCGCCCGCGUGGACGAGAAGAUCGGCUUCCAGAUCAGGAUCUUCCCGGAGAAGCCGGUCAAGUUUGAGAACAUGUACGACCAGCUCACCAGGUGCAUCAGGGAGCAGCGCCUGCUGCCGGAGCUCGGCGACCCGGCGUCCCCGGCGAACGCGACCGGCGACGACGGGAAGGUGAAGGCCGUGCUGAUCGCGUCGCUCUACUCGGGCUACUACGACAAGAUCCGGGGCCUCUACUACGAGAGCCCCACCAAGACGGGGGAGAUCGUGGCGGUGUACCAGCCGAGCCACGAGGAGAAGCAGGAGUACGCGUCCAACGAGCACAACCAGAAGGCGCUGGCCGAGAUCUACCUCCUCAGCUACUGCGACAAGAUCGCCAUGAGCGCCUGGUCCACCUUCGGCUACGUCGCCUACGGCUUCGCCGGCGUCAAGCCGUGGAUCCUGCUCCGCCCCGACUGGAACAAGGAGGUGUCCGACGUCGCGUGCGUCCGCUCCACGUCCGUCGAGCCGUGCCUGCACUCGCCGCCGAUCCUCGGGUGCCGGGCCAAGAAGGAGGUGGACGUGGCCCGCGUCAAGCCCUACGUCCGGCACUGCGAGGACGUCGGCUUCGGCCUCAAGCUCUUCGAUAGCUAA
This 1746-nucleotide ribosomal RNA is filed under the name Triticum aestivum (bread wheat). Its description in RNAcentral is "partial small subunit ribosomal RNA". The record is from RNAcentral. Lineage: Eukaryota; Viridiplantae; Streptophyta; Magnoliopsida; Poales; Poaceae.